RNAcentral lists this ribosomal RNA (513 nucleotides) under uncultured bacterium. RNAcentral describes it as "partial 16S ribosomal RNA". It matches the Rfam family "Bacterial small subunit ribosomal RNA", at positions 28 to 507 of the family's 1533-position model. The record is from RNAcentral.
GACGAACGCUGGCGGCGUGCUUAACACAUGCAAGUCGAACGAAAAGAGGGAGAGAGCUUGCUCUUUCCGGAAUUGAGUGGCAAACGGGUGAGUAACACGUAAACAACCUGCCUUCAGGAUGGGGACAACAGACGGAAACGACUGCUAAUACCGAAUAAGUUCCAAGAGCCGCAUGGCCCAUGGAAGAAAAGGUGGCCUCUACCUGUAAGCUAUCGCCUGAAGAGGGGUUUGCGUCUGAUUAGCUGGUUGGAGGGGUAACGGCCCACCAAGGCGACGAUCAGUAGCCGGUCUGAGAGGAUGAACGGCCACACUGGAACUGAGACACGGUCCAGACUCCUACGGGAAGCAGCAGUGGGGAAUCUUCCGCAAUGGGCGAAAGCCUGACGGAGCAACGCCGCGUGAGUGAUGACGGCCUUCGGGUUGUAAAACUCUGUGAUCCGGGACGAAAAGGCAGAGUGCGAAGAACAAACUGCAUUGACGGUACCGGAAAAGCAAGCCACGGCUAACUACGUG